UGGGGAAUUGUUCACAAUGGGCGCAAGCCUGAUGACGCAACGCCGCGUGGGGGAUGAAGGUCUUCGGAUCGUAAACCCCUGUCGAAUGGGACGAAAGACUCGCGAGUGAAUACUUCGCGAGAGUGACGGUACCGUUAAAGGAAGCCACGGCUAACUCUGUGCCAGCAGCCGCGGUAAUACAGAGGUGGCAAGCGUUGUUCGGAAUUACUGGGCGUAAAGGGCGCGUAGGCGGCCCUCUAAGUCAGACGUGAAAUCCCCCGGCUUAACCUGGGAACUGCGUCUGAUACUGGAGGGCUUGAGUAUGGGAGAGGGAUGCGGAAUUCCAGGUGUAGCGGUGAAAUGCGUAGAUAUCUGGAGGAACACCGGUGGCGAAGGCGGCAUCCUGGACCAAUACUGACGCUGAGGAGCGAAAGCCAGGGGAGCAAACGGGAUUAGAUACCCCCGUAGUCCCUGAGCGGGCUGGCAAGGCGCAU
This 473-nucleotide ribosomal RNA is filed under the name uncultured bacterium. Its description in RNAcentral is "bacterial SSU rRNA". It matches the Rfam family "Bacterial small subunit ribosomal RNA", at positions 355 to 825 of the family's 1533-position model. The record is from RNAcentral.